AUUUUGAUUUGAUCUGUGUUAUAGGAUAAUUGCAUUUGUAUUUCUUUGGUUAUCUCACUUCAAUUGAGACUCGAACUCAAAACAUCAUAGGUCCAGAAGCAAUUCUAAUUCCACUGAACUAAAACUUAUCAGUAUUUCACAUUCUUAAAUAUUUUUAAUAUUAAGGUCUAAUGCAUGUUCUUAAAUAUUAUUGUGUAAGUCAUACAAAAGUUUCAUGAUGUGCAAGGUAUUUUCUCUUUUAAUAAAAAAGAAAACACAUAUAGGAAGCAAAGUAUUUCCAUUACUUCUCUUCUUGUUUUUCCUUUUUGGUGAGGUUGGGUACUUGAUUGAGUUGGGGGAGGAUAAGAACAAUGAGGGAGCUUUUAUUCCAAGACAAACAAAAGCAUUAUUCCAAUCCAUACCAAUUAAGUUUGAUAUUAAUAGAAAAUAUGAUGAAAUAAGAAAAGCAUAACCCUCCAAGAUUGAAGAAAACUUAGAAUAGAUGUUAUUACCCUCCAGCAAGUCACCAAGAGGAU
RNAcentral lists this unclassified non-coding RNA (515 nucleotides) under Hevea brasiliensis (rubber tree). Lineage: Eukaryota; Viridiplantae; Streptophyta; Magnoliopsida; Malpighiales; Euphorbiaceae. The record is from RNAcentral.